Molecule: transfer RNA, 56 nt
Filed under: Ascaridia sp. GHL-2013
Lineage: Eukaryota; Metazoa; Nematoda; Chromadorea; Rhabditida; Ascaridiidae
Description: tRNA-Arg
Source: RNAcentral
GAAGUGGAAAUAGAUGUUUUCUAUAUUUAGUUACGGUCUAAAGAGAGAGGGCUUUU